This 484-nucleotide ribosomal RNA is filed under the name uncultured bacterium. Its description in RNAcentral is "partial 16S ribosomal RNA". It matches the Rfam family "Bacterial small subunit ribosomal RNA", at positions 899 to 1397 of the family's 1533-position model. The record is from RNAcentral.
ACUCAAAUGAAUAGACGGGGGCCCGCACAAGCAGCGGAGCGUGUGGUUUAAUUCGACGCAACGCGCAGAACCUUACCAAGGCUUGACAUGCACAGGAAUGUCCGGGAAACCGGGCAGCCCUUCGGGGCCUGUGCACAGAUGCUGCAUGGCUGUCGUCAGCUCGUGCCGUGAGGUGUUGGGUUAAGUCCCGCAACGAGCGCAACCCUCGUCGCUAGUUGAAUCUCUCUAGCGAGACCGCUGCGCGAAACGCAGAGGAAGGUGGGGAUGACGUCAAGUCAGCACGGCUCUUACGUCUUGGGCUACACACACGCUACAAUGGCCGGUACAACGGGUUGCCAAGCCGCGAGGCGGAGCUAAUCCCAUCAAAACCGGCCUCAGUUCAGAUUGCAGGCUGAAACCCGCCUGCAUGAAGGCGGAGUUGCUAGUAACCGCAGGUCAGCACACUGCGGUGAAUACGUUCCCGGGCCUUGUACACACCGCCCGU